UACGGGGGGGCAAGCGUUGUUCGGAAUUACUGGGCGUAAAGGGCUCGUAGGUGGCCAACUAAGUCAGACGUGAAAUCCCUCAGCUUAACUGGGGAACUGCGUCUGAUACUGGAUGGCUUGAGUUUGGGAGAGGGAUGCGGAAUUCCAGGUGUAGCGGUGAAAUGCGUAGAUAUCUGGAGGAACACCAGUGGCGAAAGCGGCUUCCUGGCCCGACAUUGACGCUCAUGUACGAAAGCGCGGGGAGCAAACAGG
Molecule: ribosomal RNA, 252 nt
Filed under: uncultured bacterium
Lineage: Bacteria
Description: partial 16S ribosomal RNA
Rfam family: Bacterial small subunit ribosomal RNA
Source: RNAcentral